RNAcentral lists this small nucleolar RNA (107 nucleotides) under Erythranthe guttata (spotted monkey flower). Its description in RNAcentral is "Mimulus guttatus (spotted monkey flower) Small nucleolar RNA Z107/R87". It matches the Rfam family "Small nucleolar RNA Z107/R87". Rfam says of the family: Z107 and R87 are members of the C/D class of snoRNA which contain the C (UGAUGA) and D (CUGA) box motifs. Most of the members of the box C/D family function in directing site-specific 2'-O-methylation of substrate RNA Lineage: Eukaryota; Viridiplantae; Streptophyta; Magnoliopsida; Lamiales; Phrymaceae. The record is from Rfam by way of RNAcentral.
AAUGGCAGUGACGACUCAAAAAAUUCAAGCUCAACAGACCGGAUUGCAGGUUUCUCUCUCUAGAGAUGAUUACUUGCGUGUCGAUAAACCCGCUGAACUGAGCCUUU